RNAcentral lists this ribosomal RNA (252 nucleotides) under uncultured bacterium. RNAcentral's name for it is "partial 16S ribosomal RNA". It matches the Rfam family "Bacterial small subunit ribosomal RNA", at positions 524 to 776 of the family's 1533-position model. The record is from RNAcentral.
UACGUAGGGAGCGAGCGUUAUCCGGAAUUAUUGGGUGUAAAGGGUGCGUAGGCGGUUUGAUAAGUCAGUGGUGAAAGCCUAGAGCUUAACUCUAGUAAGCCAUUGAAACUGUCGAACUUGAGUAUGGUAGAGGCAAGCGGAAUUUCUAGUGUAGCGGUAAAAUGCGUAGAUAUUAGAAGGAACACCAGUGGCGAAGGCGGCUUGCUGGGCCAAGACUGACGCUGAGGCACGAAAGCGUGGGGAGCAAAUAGG